Molecule: ribosomal RNA, 509 nt
Filed under: uncultured Oscillospiraceae bacterium
Lineage: Bacteria; Bacillati; Bacillota; Clostridia; Eubacteriales; Oscillospiraceae
Description: bacterial SSU rRNA
Rfam family: Bacterial small subunit ribosomal RNA
Source: RNAcentral
CGGGGCGUCUCACACGAGGUGGUGCAUGGUUGUCGUCAGCUCGUGUCGUGAGAUGUUGGGUUAAGUCCCGCAACGAGCGCAACCCUAUUGUUAGUUGCUACGCAAGAGCACUCUAGCGAGACUGCCGUUGACAAAACGGAGGAAGGUGGGGACGACGUCAAAUCAUCAUGCCCCUUAUGUCCUGGGCUACACACGUACUACAAUGGCGGUAAACAGAGGGAGGCAAGACCGCGAGGUGGAGCAAAUCCCUAAAAGCCGUCCCAGUUCGGAUUGCAGGCUGAAACUCGCCUGUAUGAAGUUGGAAUCGCUAGUAAUCGCGGAUCAGCAUGCCGCGGUGAAUACGUUCCCGGGCCUUGUACACACCGCCCGUCACACCAUGAGAGUCGGGAACACCCGAAGUCCGUAGCCUAACAGCAAUGAGGGCGCGGCCGAAGGUGGGUUUGAUAAUUAGGGUGAAGUCGUAACAAGGUAGCCGUAUCGGAAGGUGCGGCUGGAUCACCUCCUUUAUG